This 935-nucleotide ribosomal RNA is filed under the name uncultured bacterium. Its description in RNAcentral is "bacterial SSU rRNA". It matches the Rfam family "Bacterial small subunit ribosomal RNA", at positions 45 to 977 of the family's 1533-position model. The record is from RNAcentral.
GGCUUACACAUGCAAGUCGAGGGGCAUCACGAAUUAGCAAUAGUUUGGUGGCGACCGGCGCACGGGUGCGUAACACGUAUACAACCUACCUUCAAUUGGGGAAUAACCUGGAGAAAUUUGGACUAAUACCCCAUAGUAAACGGAAGAGGCAUCUUUUUUGUUUUAAAGAUUUAUUGAUUGGAGAUGGGUAUGCGUAGGAUUAGCUAGUUGGUAAGGUAACGGCUUACCAAGGCGACGAUCCUUAGGGGUUCUGAGAGGAAGGUCCCCCACACUGGUACUGAGACACGGACCAGACUCCUACGGGAGGCAGCAGUGAGGAAUAUUGGUCAAUGGUCGAGAGACUGAACCAGCCAAGUCGCGUGAAGGAAGACGGCUCUAUGAGUUGUAAACUUCUUUUGUACAGGAGUAAAGUGAGACACGCGUGUUUUAUUGCAAGUACUGUACGAAUAAGCAUCGGCUAACUCCGUGCCAGCAGCCGCGGUAAUACGGAGGAUGCAAGCGUUAUCCGGAUUUAUUGGGUUUAAAGGGUGCGUAGGCGGUAUUACAAGUCAGGGGUGAAAUCUUGGUGCUUAACAUUAAAAUUGCCUUUGAAACUGUGGUACUUGAGUGUAAAAGAGGUAGGCGGAAUGUGUUGUGUAGCGGUGAAAUGCAUAGAUAUAACACAGAACCCCGAUUGCGAAGGCAGCUUACUAUCAUACAACUGACGCUGAUGCACGAAAGCGUGGGGAUCAAACAGGAUUAGAUACCCUGGUAGUCCACGCAGUAAACGAUGAUUACUAGCUGUUAGCGAUAUAUUGUUAGUGGCUAAGCGAAAGCGAUAAGUAAUCUACCUGGGGAGUACGUUCGCAAGAAUGAAACUCAAAGGAAUUGACGGGGGCCCGCACAAGCGGAGGAACAUGUGGUUUAAUUCGAUGAUACGCGAGGAACCUUACCCG